GCAGCAACUUCCGGCUCUAGGUCUCAGGGUGCUUUUCAUGCGGGGCAAGAAGCGAUGGGAGAAAUUGAUGAGGCAACAGCUAAGCGGGAAACGGUGCAAGAAAGUUCACAGUGCUUAUUGAAUUUGUAUACCGCCUUUUGCAGUUUCUGCUGCAAAAGCGCUUGAUUCCCCACCCCGCAGCAGGGCUUUUAAUGCUGCUUGAUUUUGACUUCUGUUUGCUCUCCUAGCAGCAGCGGACCCAGGCAGACCCUGAGCCCCAAUCGCAGCCAGCCCUCGCGAGGGAAAACACGGGCCAGGGAAGACCGAGCUUGCUCGGUGUGUCAUGGAAGAGCACUGAAAAGGAGCGACUUUUUGUUACGUGCCCCCCUUGUAAUCAGAGGACGUUCAGCCGAUGGAGAUGCAGAGAUGAGAAACGGCGCUUCGUUGAAUUUGACCUUUUGUCUACGUCAGGCUUCCUCAACCGCAGACCUCCAGAUUUUUUUUGGCCUACAACUCCCAUGAUCCUUAGCUAGCAGGACCAGUGGUCAGGGAUGAUGGGAAUUGUAGUCUCAAAACAGCUGGAGGGCCGAGGUUGAGGAAGCCUGGACGUCUUUCUUUUUUUAAAGCACACAGAGAGUAAAGUCCUAGUUGCAGUGCAUUGAAAAGCACCGUGGCUGCUCUCCACAAUUGCAAAACCAAGCCGCUGAGGCAUAAUUAUUUGGCACAACGGGGGUGAGGAGAGGUUCUGUGUUUCCAAAGCCUAUGUGACAAGCAGAUAUUCAGCAGGCACACCUGCCCAGCCCAUGCACCUACAUAGAAAACAUUCCGUUCUUCUGACAGGGAGGUGUCAAAUGUGCACCCUCUUCUAUUGAUAUUAAAAGACUGCUUAGUUAGCAGCCCUUCUCUGGCCCAGUAUAUGCUAGUCCAAGCGUUGCUAAUCUGGUGCCUAUGAGCACAAUGACACUUGCAAAGUUAGUCCCCCCAGGCAGAGGGCCCAAUCUCUGAGCUUUCUUUAAAGUCAGUCUCAAGCCCCCCUAGAAACAAUGUUAUGAAGCAAAAUUGGCAGGUACCCACCUAAGUGAUUUCUAUGAAAUGAGCCAGCCUGACUGCUCACGUCACUUGUUGUUGUUUAUUUGUUUAGUCGUGUCCAACUCUUCGUGACCCCAUGGACCAGAGCACGCCAGGCUCCCGUCACUGUUUUUAGCCAAUGAAUGAUGUCAGAUGAUUGGUAAGUGAUUUGUUUGAACACCAGGGAAUUCCUGUGGCCCUAAAGAGUUGUUUUCCUCUUGUCUGCUUCUGUCUUUUGUUCUAGUCUUUGGAAUCCAUGUAGUUUGCCCUUCCUCUCUCACUAGCAAUCAGGAUGCAUCUUUCCUAUGGUAGGUUUGUCUGAGAUCACACUAAAAGUUAUGCAAAUAUACAGUAAGUACGGGUGGAUAUUAAAGAUUUCAGCCUCCCCACAAAAGGCAAAUGUGAAAAUUUUGCCUGUCCUGCUCUGGAUAAAAUAUUGCAGCUUUACCUUCACAUGCAAUAUCUUCAAUGACAUUCAACUAUCAGCCUAAUUAUAAACAUAUUUUACUCUGAAUAAAUCCCAGUACUAAGCUUGAGACUGAAUUGCCUAGACACCAGUAACAAUAGGAACAUAGUUUCAAUCCACAAUUGAAAUAGGAGUCUCAGAUUGUUGUCGCGUCCAUAAAAUCCAAAUGUAAGUGUCAGCAGUACACUUGGAGUCGGGGAAAGAACAAAAGUAGAAUAUAUAUUGAGCCAGGGAUUCACUGGAGGACCUUGAGAUAACUUCAUUUUCCAGAUUCAGUCAUCAGCAUCCCCUUCCUCUGCAAUACAGAGGUAGGAAUAGAGGCCUAUGACGUCAUACAAGUGUAACAAUUACCAAUAUAUUUGUUCUUUGAACACCUAAAACAAACUGCUGUAUAGUUAACUGAAAUUUAAUGUUAAUCCAAGCAUGAUAAGCUCAAUAGGGUGGGGGUGCUGGUGUUUCUUGCCUCCCUCCCCUAAAACCACAGAGAGAACUUAUUUACCAUUGUUUUAAGUUUCGAAGGUGCUAGAAGUUAUUUUGCUAUUCACAAACUCAAAAAGCAUUUACUUCUGCCAUCUGAUGGAUGCAUGCUAUAACUACAGGUCUGGGAGAGGACAAAUCCUUCUGUUUAAUGAGGCAUUUUUACAGCAUGAUCCUAAAGAUGUUAAUAAACAUCUAGCAUUCUAGCAGCAAUACUGCCUGGUCCUGUGGUGUUAUGUAUACCUAUGUCCAUUCAAACAUGUGUUCUUAAAUGUACCUAACUCUGCACAGUAUCAAAGCUUUAAUUGUAUUGUUGUUGGCAUCUGUCUGUCUCAAGAGACGUAGUGUGCCUCCCGGGAUGAAGUCAAACUGCUGCAUUAGCAGCACUGAAGUGACCUCCUCAAGGUGCAAGCCUGGGCAGUAUGUAUGGUGGUCCUGGACUGCCCAGAUGACAAGACCCUCCUCUCGAUUUCACUGAUGUGGAUCAAAGUGAAGCACAGCAAUACAUUUGGGACCAGCUGGGCUGCAGGAAUUGCUGGAAGGAGGCAUACAAGGCGCCAUCCAGUCUUCUUAGGGACUCCACUUCGAAUCUGUGUAGGGUUUACUCCUUAGUCUUCUAAUCCCCCAAAAUAUCCUGCGAGGCAGUGGAGGUUUGGGAUCAGUUUUCCUUCUCCCAGGUGGUCUACCUUCCCAGGUUGAUGAGCUCCAUCUGCCCCUCACUUCCCUCUACAUCAUGUGCAGAAACCAUUUUCUUAAUCGUUGGCCCCACUAUUGGUCUCUUUGCAUGCAGGGAAGACACAUUGGCUACCCUCACCUGAUUUAGCUGGCCAGUCAAAGCCAUUCCUGGACCGCUGUCACACACCAACAGCUUUUAGGAGUCACAGGUGAGAGCUGGGUGCAGGGUGGGGACCAAAGGUGGACAACUACCCCAGAAGCACAGCAUGUCCCCCACCAGAAGUACUACCUCUCCCCUAACACUCCAUACACCCAACUAUGUAAGCAUCAGUAAUCUUUACUGCUUCUGAUGGUCUAACACGUCGUAUUUAGAGCUGAGAUUCUGGCUAGCUUAUGACUGGACAUGUGAUUUCCUACCUAUAAAUUACCCUCUCCAUCCUCUUAAACACUGUGAAACCAAAGGAUGAUAAAUGUGAAUGGCAGCCAAUGUAGUGCUACUUGUUCUGUGUGGAGAUAUUCCAUGCUAAAGGUUCAUGGAGAACAGAAAGGUUCUGAUGGCUCAAGUUCAAUAAACCAAAGGAAACAACAAAUCUCUACUAAUUCUAUCAUUUUUCCUGAUCACAAAUUACUCUGAAGGAGUUAAUUCCUCAUACAAAUUCAAUCUUUCUACCAAUGCAUUAUAAUUUUCAAGUAAAUUAUGAUGGAUCAUAGGAAAAGUUUAACAUCAGUGAUAACCAUACGCAUAAAUGAGUAGAAGCAAAACCACGUAAGAACAAUGCUAGCUUUCGUAGCAGUGUUUAACUUGCAAGCACUGUGAAAUACCAUUCUCAAAGCACUGAAUGGGUGUCAUGAUGGAUAAGUCAUUGUUUACGGCAUACUAAGUCAAUCACAGUACUUUCUACAUAGCGCUUUUAACAGUAAUGUACUGUUUGCACUGCCACACAGUGAUGUAUAAGCUAUAAUUAUUCCUCCCUGUUUUAUCUGCAGAAUGAGAAGCAGUAGAUUCCCCAUAGGCCCAUGCAAUACAUGCAGAAGGAUGGAGGAUUAAGAAAGGGGGCAAGUUAUAUAAGAGGAUAUGACAUGUUACAGCAGUAGUCCUCAACCUCUGG
Non-coding RNA from Podarcis lilfordi (Lilford's wall lizard), 3774 nucleotides. The record is from the annotation of a GenBank genome assembly. Lineage: Eukaryota; Metazoa; Chordata; Lepidosauria; Squamata; Lacertidae.